GUUUCUUUCUUGGGGUCUGUAUUGGGCGUACAGAGCUCGUAGGCGGUUUGUCGCGUCUGCCGAUGAAAGUCCGAGGCUCAACCUCGGAUCUGCGGUGGGUACGGGCAGACUAGAGUGAUGUAGGGGAGACUGGAAUUCCUGGUGUAGCGGUGAAAUGCGCAGAUAUCAGGAGGAACACCGAUGGCGAAGGCAGGUCUCUGGGCAUUUACUGACGCUGAGGAGCGAAAGCAUGGGGAGCGAACAGGAUUAGAUACCCUGGUAGUCCAUGCCGUAAACGUUGGGCACUAGGUGUGGGGGACAUUCCACGUUUUCCGCGCCGUAGCUAACGCAUUAAGUGCCCCGCCUGGGGAGUACGGCCGCAAGGCUAAAACUCAAAGGAAUUGACGGGGGCCCGCACAAGCGGCGGAGCAUGCGGAUUAAUUCGAUGCAACGCGAAGAACCUUACCAAGGCUUGACAUGUGCCAGACCGCUCCAGAGAUGGGGUUUCCCUUCGGGGCUGGUUCACAGGUGGUGCAUGGUUGUCGUCAGCUCGUGUCGUGAGAUGUUGGGUUAAGUCCCGCAACGAGCGCAACCCUCGUUCCAUGUUGCCAGCACGUAGUGGUGGGGACUCAUGGGAGACUGCCGGGGUCAACUCGGAGGAAGGUGGGGAUGACGUCAAAUCAUCAUGCCCCUUAUGUCUUGCGCUUCACGCAUGCUACAAUGGCCGGUACAAUGGGUUGCGAUACUGUGAGGUGGAGCUAAUCCCUAAAAGCCGGUCUCAGUUCGGAUUGGGGUCUGCAACUCGACCCCAUGAAGUCGGAGUCGCUAGUAAUCGCAGAUCAGCAACGCUGCGUGAUACGCUCCCCGCGGGCCUAAA
This 856-nucleotide ribosomal RNA is filed under the name Glutamicibacter nicotianae. RNAcentral's name for it is "bacterial SSU rRNA". It matches the Rfam family "Bacterial small subunit ribosomal RNA". Lineage: Bacteria; Bacillati; Actinomycetota; Actinomycetes; Micrococcales; Micrococcaceae. The record is from RNAcentral.